Molecule: transfer RNA, 73 nt
Filed under: Methylobacterium dankookense
Lineage: Bacteria; Pseudomonadati; Pseudomonadota; Alphaproteobacteria; Hyphomicrobiales; Methylobacteriaceae
Description: tRNA-Ala
Source: RNAcentral
ACUCGUCGUGGCCGAGCGGCACGAUCGCCUGCGAGGCGAGCAGGCAGGCCGGAUCGACGCCGACGACGAGCGC